RNAcentral lists this transfer RNA (68 nucleotides) under Lype phaeopa. Its description in RNAcentral is "tRNA-Val". The record is from RNAcentral. Lineage: Eukaryota; Metazoa; Arthropoda; Insecta; Trichoptera; Psychomyiidae.
CAAAUUUAGACUAAUGAGAUAGUAAUUCUUUUACACGGAAUUUUAUAUUGUGCAAAUCAAUAAAAUUU